UGGCAAAAAGCACUGAGGGGUGUACAUAGUUUCGGCCUAUGGGGGGGACGUACGGUUCUUUGCUUA
RNAcentral lists this transfer RNA (66 nucleotides) under Notospermus geniculatus. RNAcentral describes it as "tRNA-Arg". The record is from RNAcentral. Lineage: Eukaryota; Metazoa; Nemertea; Pilidiophora; Heteronemertea; Lineidae.